Molecule: ribosomal RNA, 206 nt
Filed under: uncultured bacterium
Lineage: Bacteria
Description: partial 16S ribosomal RNA
Rfam family: Bacterial small subunit ribosomal RNA
Source: RNAcentral
CUCGUAGGUGGCCAACUAAGUCAGACGUGAAAUCCCUCGGCUUAACCGGGGAACUGCGUCUGAUACUGGAUGGCUUGAGGUUGGGAGAGGGAUGCGGAAUUCCAGGUGUAGCGGUGAAAUGCGUAGAUAUCUGGAGGAACACCGGUGGCGAAGGCGGCAUCCUGGACCAAUUCUGACACUGAGGAGCGAAAGCCAGGGAGCAAACG